RNAcentral lists this ribosomal RNA (693 nucleotides) under Acinetobacter baumannii OIFC109. RNAcentral describes it as "bacterial SSU rRNA". It matches the Rfam family "Bacterial small subunit ribosomal RNA", at positions 28 to 715 of the family's 1533-position model. Lineage: Bacteria; Pseudomonadati; Pseudomonadota; Gammaproteobacteria; Moraxellales; Moraxellaceae. The record is from RNAcentral.
AUUGAACGCUGGCGGCAGGCUUAACACAUGCAAGUCGAGCGGGGGAAGGUAGCUUGCUACCGGACCUAGCGGCGGACGGGUGAGUAAUGCUUAGGAAUCUGCCUAUUAGUGGGGGACAACAUCUCGAAAGGGAUGCUAAUACCGCAUACGUCCUACGGGAGAAAGCAGGGGAUCUUCGGACCUUGCGCUAAUAGAUGAGCCUAAGUCGGAUUAGCUUGUUGGUGGGGUAAAGGCCUACCAAGGCGACGAUCUGUAGCGGGUCUGAGAGGAUGAUCCGCCACACUGGGACUGAGACACGGCCCAGACUCCUACGGGAGGCAGCAGUGGGGAAUAUUGGACAAUGGGGGGAACCCUGAUCCAGCCAUGCCGCGUGUGUGAAGAAGGCCUUAUGGUUGUAAAGCACUUUAAGCGAGGAGGAGGCUACUUUAGUUAAUACCUAGAGAUAGUGGACGUUACUCGCAGAAUAAGCACCGGCUAACUCUGUGCCAGCAGCCGCGGUAAUACAGAGGGUGCGAGCGUUAAUCGGAUUUACUGGGCGUAAAGCGUGCGUAGGCGGCUUAUUAAGUCGGAUGUGAAAUCCCCGAGCUUAACUUGGGAAUUGCAUUCGAUACUGGUGAGCUAGAGUAUGGGAGAGGAUGGUAGAAUUCCAGGUGUAGCGGUGAAAUGCGUAGAGAUCUGGAGGAAUACCGAUGG